GGGUUGUGAGGUUAAGCGACUAAGCGUACACGGUGGAUGCCCUGGCAGUCAGAGGCGAUGAAGGACGUGCUAAUCUGCGAUAAGCGCCGGUAAGGUGAUAUGAACCGUUAUAACCGGCGAUUUCCGAAUGGGGAAACCCAGUGUGAUUCGUCACACUAUCAUUAACUGAAUCCAUAGGUUAAUGAGGCGAACCGGGGGAACUGAAACAUCUAAGUACCCCGAGGAAAAGAAAUCAACCGAGAUUCCCCCAGUAGCGGCGAGCGAACGGGGAGGAGCCCAGAGCCUGAAUCAGCAUGUGUGUUAGUGGAAGCGUCUGGAAAGGCGCGCGAUACAGGGUGACAGCCCCGUACACAAAAGCGCAUGUGCUGUGAGCUCGAUGAGUAGGGCGGGACACGUGGUAUCCUGUCUGAAUAUGGGGGGACCAUCCUCCAAGGCUAAAUACUCCUGACUGACCGAUAGUGAACCAGUACCGUGAGGGAAAGGCGAAAAGAACCCCGGCGAGGGGAGUGAAAAAGAACCUGAAACCGUGUACGUACAAGCAGUGGGAGCCCCACCACUAAGCCAGUGGUGAACUCCACAUCCGCAUCCUUUGCUGAGGAUACGGUUAACGGAGCGAAAGCGACGUUCAACCGCAAAACAAGCAGAGGGGGCUUAGUGGUGGGGUGACUGCGUACCUUUUGUAUAAUGGGUCAGCGACUUAUAUUCUGUAGCAAGGUUAACCGAAUAGGGGAGCCGGAGGGAAACCGAGUCUUAAUUGGGCGUUAAGUUGCAGGGUAUAGACCCGAAACCCGGUGAUCUAGCCAUGGGCAGGUUGAAGGUUGGGUAACACUAACUGGAGGACCGAACCGACUAAUGUUGAAAAAUUAGCGGAUGACCUGUGGCUGGGGGUGAAAGGCCAAUCAAACCGGGAGAUAGCUGGUUCUCCCCGAAAGCUAUUUAGGUAGCGCCUCGUGAAUUCAUCUCCGGGGGUAGAGCACUGUUUCGGCUAGGGGGCCAUCCCGGCUUACCAACCCGAUGCAAACUGCGAAUACCGGAGAAUGUUAUCACGGGAGACACACGGCGGGUGCUAACGUCCGUCGUGAAGAGGGAAACAACCCAGACCGCCAGCUAAGGUCCCAAAGUCAUGGUUAAGUGGGAAACGAUGUGGGAAGGCCCAGACAGCCAGGAUGUUGGCUUAGAAGCAGCCAUCAUUUAAAGAAAGCGUAAUAGCUCACUGGUCGAGUCGGCCUGCGCGGAAGAUGUAACGGGGCUAAACCAUGCACCGAAGCUGCGGCAGCGAACGUAUCACUUAAAGCGAUUCAGCGGGUUACGAUUGACGGAGCGAAGCGACGUCAAAGCGUAUACAAAGUCGAGUCGGUUUAAGGAUACGUUCGUUGGGUAGGGGAGCGUUCUGUAAGCCCGUGAAGGUGGCCUGUGAGGGUUGCUGGAGGUAUCAGAAGUGCGAAUGCUGACAUAAGUAACGAUAAAGCGGGUGAAAAGCCCGCUCGCCGGAAGACCAAGGGUUCCUGUCCAACGUUAAUCGGGGCAGGGUGAGUCGACCCCUAAGGCGAGGCCGAAAGGCGUAGUCGAUGGGAAACGGGUUAAUAUUCCCGUACUUGGUGUUACUGCGAAGGGGGGACGGAGAAGGCUAUGUUGGCCGGGCGACGGUUGUCCCGGUUUAAGCGUGUAGGUGUGUGUUCCAGGUAAAUCCGGUUCACUUUAACACUGAGGCGUGACGACGAGGCACUACGGUGCUGAAGCAACAAAUGCCCUGCUUCCAGGAAAAGCCUCUAAGCAUCAGGUAACAUCAAAUCGUACCCCAAACCGACACAGGUGGUCAGGUAGAGAAUACCAAGGCGCUUGAGAGAACUCGGGUGAAGGAACUAGGCAAAAUGGUGCCGUAACUUCGGGAGAAGGCACGCUGACACGUAGGUGAAGUGAUUUACUCAUGGAGCUGAAGUCAGUCGAAGAUACCAGCUGGCUGCAACUGUUUAUUAAAAACACAGCACUGUGCAAACACGAAAGUGGACGUAUACGGUGUGACGCCUGCCCGGUGCCGGAAGGUUAAUUGAUGGGGUCAGCGCAAGCGAAGCUCCUGAUCGAAGCCCCGGUAAACGGCGGCCGUAACUAUAACGGUCCUAAGGUAGCGAAAUUCCUUGUCGGGUAAGUUCCGACCUGCACGAAUGGCGUAAUGAUGGCCAGGCUGUCUCCACCCGAGACUCAGUGAAAUUGAACUCGCUGUGAAGAUGCAGUGUACCCGCGGCAAGACGGAAAGACCCCGUGAACCUUUACUAUAGCUUGACACUGAACAUUGAGCCUUGAUGUGUAGGAUAGGUGGGAGGCUUUGAAGUGUGGACGCCAGUCUGCAUGGAGCCGACCUUGAAAUACCACCCUUUAAUGUUUGAUGUUCUAACGUGGACCCGUAAUCCGGGUUGCGGACAGUGUCUGGUGGGUAGUUUGACUGGGGCGGUCUCCUCCUAAAGAGUAACGGAGGAGCACGAAGGUUGGCUAAUCCUGGUCGGACAUCAGGAGGUUAGUGCAAUGGCAUAAGCCAGCUUGACUGCGAGCGUGACGGCGCGAGCAGGUGCGAAAGCAGGUCAUAGUGAUCCGGUGGUUCUGAAUGGAAGGGCCAUCGCUCAACGGAUAAAAGGUACUCCGGGGAUAACAGGCUGAUACCGCCCAAGAGUUCAUAUCGACGGCGGUGUUUGGCACCUCGAUGUCGGCUCAUCACAUCCUGGGGCUGAAGUAGGUCCCAAGGGUAUGGCUGUUCGCCAUUUAAAGUGGUACGCGAGCUGGGUUUAGAACGUCGUGAGACAGUUCGGUCCCUAUCUGCCGUGGGCGCUGGAGAACUGAGGGGGGCUGCUCCUAGUACGAGAGGACCGGAGUGGACGCAUCACUGGUGUUCGGGUUGUCAUGCCAAUGGCACUGCCCGGUAGCUAAAUGCGGAAGAGAUAAGUGCUGAAAGCAUCUAAGCACGAAACUUGCCCCGAGAUGAGUUCUCCCUGAGACUUAGAGUCUCCUGAAGGAACGUUGAAGACGACGACGUUGAUAGGCCGGGUGUGUAAGCGCAGCGAUGCGUUGAGCUAACCGGUACUAAUGAACCGUGAGGCUUAACCUUACAACGCCGAAG
Molecule: ribosomal RNA, 3109 nt
Filed under: Salmonella enterica subsp. enterica serovar Typhimurium
Lineage: Bacteria; Pseudomonadati; Pseudomonadota; Gammaproteobacteria; Enterobacterales; Enterobacteriaceae
Description: 23S ribosomal RNA
Rfam family: Bacterial large subunit ribosomal RNA
Source: RNAcentral